This 458-nucleotide ribosomal RNA is filed under the name uncultured bacterium. RNAcentral describes it as "partial 16S ribosomal RNA". It matches the Rfam family "Bacterial small subunit ribosomal RNA", at positions 338 to 795 of the family's 1533-position model. The record is from RNAcentral.
CCUACGGGAGGCAGCAGUGGGGAAUAUUGCACAAUGGGGGAAACCCUGAUGCAGCGACGCCGCGUGAGUGAAGAAGUAAUUCGUUACGUAAAGCUCUAUCAGCAGGGAAGAAACACUGACCUUACGGUCAGCAGACGGUACCUGAGUAAGAAGCCCCGGCUAACUACUGGCCAGCAGCCGCGGUAAUAAGUAGGGGGCAGGCGUUAUCCGGAUUUACUGGGUGGAAAGGGAGCGUAGACGGUGCGCCAAGUCGGGAGUGAAAUGCCGCAGCUUAACUGCGGAACUGCUGUGGAAACUGGCGAACUAGAGUGCGGGAGGGGUAAGCGGAAUUCCUAGUGUAGCGGUGAAAUGCGUAGAUAUUAGGAGGAACACCGGUGGCGAAGGCGGCUUACUGGACCGUAACUGACGUUGAGGCUCGAAAGCGUGGGGAGCAAACAGGAUUAGAUACCCGUGUAGUC